Polyodon spathula (Mississippi paddlefish) is the source of this 681-nucleotide long non-coding RNA. RefSeq lists it as uncharacterized. The record is from RefSeq and is a predicted model, not a curated record. NCBI's taxonomy places the organism in Eukaryota, Metazoa, Chordata, Actinopteri, Acipenseriformes, Polyodontidae. The transcript is spliced from 3 exons.
UAUAACAGGAGCCCAGGCUAUUGUCUCAGCUGCGAUAUGAAGGGGGACUUGUCAUAUCCAACCCCGGUCCCUAGCCUGGAGCUACCGGGGGGAUAAAAAAAAAAAAAAGAAAACAGUGGUGAGUUCUCCAUGAAACAACCAAUUUCUAGCAGCGAGUACUGCUCUGUCAAAGAAACACCAUCUCCAAUCAAGACCUAGCACCACCGAGGCAGCAACAGAAACAACAGAUAUAAAACAGUACAAUACACCAAAAGCAGAAAAGACGCCAGGAAAGGGCUGGCUCUUGGCCAAGGCUGAAAUGUAGCCACCACUAUGACCUUCAUGACAAGAAUGACAGCCCCUAGUGCAGAACAGCUCUCGUGGAAGGGCUGAAGACAAUGGAGGGACUCGGGAGCAAUGAAGUGCGCCCUGGAAAGCACUGCGAUGACAAAAUGAAAGGUUAACCUUUAGCACCCCACCUCCAUCCUCUCCCGGUCCCUGUGGCAUUCUUAUUGACUUGCUUACCACUGUGGUUCUUAAGAGAGAACAGGUGUGGUUUCCAGUUGCAGUCCCCUGUUGCUAUGGUUAUUCUGCUAAUCAGGUAAAUAGCGCAGCUGGGUAAAGAGAUAUAAAAUAAAACAAAAAAAAAAAAAUGUUCAAUGGGCCGAAUGCAGCCAGGCAGACGCUGCACUCCAAAAAUAG